CGGCGUGCAUAUACAUGCAAGUCGAGCGGACAGAAGGGAGCUUGCUCCCGGAUGUUAGCGGCGGACGGGUGAGUAACACGUGGGUAACCUGCCUGUAAGACUGGGAUAACUCCGGGAAACCGGAGCUAAUACCGGAUAGUUCCUUGAACCGCAUGGUUCAAGGAUGAAAGACGGAGUUUUCNGGGCGUGUCACCUUANCAGAUGGANCCCNNGCGGCGCAUUAGCUAGUUGGUGAGGUAACGGCUCACCAAGGCGACGAUGCGUAGCCGACCUGAGAGGGUGAUCGGCCACACUGGGACUGAGACACGGCCCAGACUCCUACCGGGAGGCAGCAGUAGGGAAUCUUCCGCAAUGGACGAAAGUCUGACGGAGCAACGCCGCGUGAGUGAUGAAGGUUUUCGGAUCGUAAAGCUCUGUUGUUAGGGAAGAACAAGUGCAAGAGUAACUGCUUGCACCUUGACGGUACCUAACCAGAAAGCCACGGCUAACUACGUGCCAGCAGCCGCGGUAAUACGUAGGUGGCAAGCGUUGUCCGGAAUUAUUGGGCGUAAAGGGCUCGCAGGCGGUUUCUUAAGUCUGAUGUGAAAGCCCCCGGCUCAACCGGGGAGGGUCAUUGGAAACUGGGAAACUUGAGUGCAGAAGAGGAGAGUGGAAUUCCACGUGUAGCGGUGAAAUGCGUAGAGAUGUGGAGGAACACCAGUGGCGAAGGCGACUCUCUGGUCUGUAACUGACGCUGAGGAGCGAAAGCGUGGGGAGCGAACAGGAUUAGAUACCCUGGUAGUCCACGCCGUAAACGAUGAGUGCUAAGUGUUAGGGGGUUUCCGCCCCUUAGUGCUGCAGCUAACGCAUUAAGCACUCCGCCUGGGGAGUACGGUCGCAAGACUGAAACUCAAAGGAAUUGACGGGGGCCCGCACAAGCGGUGGAGCAUGUGGUUUAAUUCGAAGCAACGCGAAGAACCUUACCAGGUCUUGACAUCCUCUGACAACCCUAGAGAUAGGGCUUUCCCUUCGGGGACAGAGUGACAGGUGGUGCAUGGUUGUCGUCAGCUCGUGUCGUGAGAUGUUGGGUUAAGUCCCGCAACGAGCGCAACCCUUGAUCUUAGUUGCCAGCAUUCAGUUGGGCACUCUAAGGUGACUGCCGGUGACAAACCGGAGGAAGGUGGGGAUGACGUCAAAUCAUCAUGCCCCUUAUGACCUGGGCUACACACGUGCUACAAUGGACAGAACAAAGGGCUGCGAGACCGCAAGGUUUAGCCAAUCCCACAAAUCUGUUCUCAGUUCGGAUCGCAGUCUGCAACUCGACUGCGUGAAGCUGGAAUCGCUAGUAAUCGCGGAUCAGCAUGCCGCGGUGAAUACGUUCCCGGGCCUUGUACACACCGCCCGUCACACCACGAGAGUUUGCAACACCCGAAGUCGGUGAGGUAACCUUUAUGGAGCCAGCCGCCGAAGGUGGG
This 1454-nucleotide ribosomal RNA is filed under the name Bacillus altitudinis. Its description in RNAcentral is "16S ribosomal RNA". It matches the Rfam family "Bacterial small subunit ribosomal RNA". Lineage: Bacteria; Bacillati; Bacillota; Bacilli; Caryophanales; Bacillaceae. The record is from RNAcentral.